RNAcentral lists this long non-coding RNA (268 nucleotides) under Cavia porcellus (domestic guinea pig). RNAcentral describes it as "lncRNA (ENSCPOG00000039933.1)". Lineage: Eukaryota; Metazoa; Chordata; Mammalia; Rodentia; Caviidae. The record is from RNAcentral.
AGAAAAACGGACAAUUCAGAGCUUCUUUCUACGGCUAGCUCCGAUUUGCCUGUUGCGGGGCAGAGUUCAUGGCUUUCCUGGGAAGACGCUGACCGGCAUCCUCAGAGGGGAGGCCAGGAGCACCAGCAGCUUGCCUCUGCCGCGGUGCCAAAUGCCCUCAGCAUUACUGCAGAUUGAAGAGAUCCUCGGUGUAUUACCCUUGUGCAGUUAGAAGGCGGUUUGGAAUUGGAUCACUCACUGUUCCUGAUCUGAUUCACAGGUAGACCCA